CCUACGGGAGGCAGCAGUGAGGAAUAUUGGUCAAUGGGCGGGAGCCUGAACCAGCCAAGUCGCGUGAGGGAAGACGGUCCUAUGGAUUGUAAACCUCUUUAGGCGGGGAGCAAUGCCGGGCACGCGUGCCCGGAGGGAGAGUACCCGCAGAAUAAGCCUCGGCUAACUCCGUGCCAGCAGCCGCGGUAAUACGGAGGUUGCGAGCGUUAUCCGGAUUUAUUGGGUUUAAAGGGUGCGGAGGCGGAUUUUUACGUCAGCGGUAAAAUGUCCGGGCUCAACCCGGGCCGGCCGUUGAAACUGGGGGUCUUGAGUGGGCGAGAAGUAUGCGGAAUGCGUGGUGUAGCGGUGAAAUGCAUAGAUAUCACGCAGAACUCCGAUUGCGAAGGCAGCAUACCGGCGCCCGACUGACGCUGAGGCACGAAAGCGUGGGGUUCGAACAGGAUUAGAUACCCCUGUAGUC
This 460-nucleotide ribosomal RNA is filed under the name uncultured bacterium. RNAcentral describes it as "partial 16S ribosomal RNA". It matches the Rfam family "Bacterial small subunit ribosomal RNA", at positions 338 to 795 of the family's 1533-position model. The record is from RNAcentral.